This 253-nucleotide ribosomal RNA is filed under the name uncultured bacterium. RNAcentral describes it as "partial 16S ribosomal RNA". It matches the Rfam family "Bacterial small subunit ribosomal RNA", at positions 524 to 776 of the family's 1533-position model. The record is from RNAcentral.
UACGGGGGGGGCAAGCGUUGUUCGGAAUUACUGGGCGUAAAGGGCUCGUAGGCGGCCAACUAAGUCAGACGUGAAAUCCCUCGGCUUAACCGGGGAACUGCGUCUGAUACUGGAUGGCUUGAGUUUGGGAGAGGGAUGCGGAAUUCCCGGUGUAGCGGUGAAAUGCGUAGAGAUCGGGAGGAAGGCCGGUGGCGAAGGCGGCGCUCUGGAACGUUUCUGACACUGAGGCUCGAAAGCGUGGGGAGCAAACAGG